CCGGUUUUAGCCAGAACAGCCAUGGAUCUGACUCGAACGGCCAUAGAUGGCUGGAAAGAGACCAUGGAUAGAAGUUGAGCAAGGUCUGAACUAGAUCUUUUCGAGAUCUUUCCACAAAAUCAUAGAAGCGAACCACAAGGAGAAGUAGGAGACAAGCACACGUCUCAAACAACAAUGGGAGUCCAUGGAUUGGGCGAGGAUCGAAGGGGAUUAGGGUUAGUUUGGCUGGAAGUGGCUAGGGCUUGAGUGAGGUUGCAGAGCAAAUUGGAGAGGGAAAGGGAAUUGAAAGGCGGCG
Molecule: long non-coding RNA, 295 nt
Filed under: Nicotiana benthamiana
Lineage: Eukaryota; Viridiplantae; Streptophyta; Magnoliopsida; Solanales; Solanaceae
Description: long non-coding RNA (NBEN_LNC021028)
Source: RNAcentral